This is a long non-coding RNA of Triticum aestivum (bread wheat), 2726 nucleotides long. RefSeq lists it as uncharacterized. The transcript has 2 exons. Lineage: Eukaryota; Viridiplantae; Streptophyta; Magnoliopsida; Poales; Poaceae. The record is from RefSeq and is a predicted model, not a curated record.
GAUCUGCAAUUUCCGAACCGGUAUGGAGGAAAGAAACAGCAACCCCAAAACAGAAAAAUGCACGCCCUCGCCCCCGUGAGCCCACGCCCGUCACUCCCCACGAACCCGCCGCCUCCCUCCCUCCUACACCAGCGCAACCCUUACCUCACGCCGACAGCCGCCCUCCCUCGCGCCGGCAGCCGCCCUCCCUCGCGCGAUGGCCUCCUCCACCCCCCACGCUCAGGUCGCCUUCCUUCCUGCGCUCCGGUCUCCUUCCUCCUUGCGUGCCAGCCUCUUCCCUACCCCGCACUCCAUCUGCCUUUCUUCCCGCACUCCGGCCGUCUUCCUCCCCGCGCUCCGGCUGCCUUCCUCCCCGCGCUCCGGCCUCCUUCCUCCUCGCAAUCCGUCCGCCUCCCUGCCCGCACUCCGUCCACCUUCCUCCCCGAGAUCCGUCCGCCUUCUCCCCUGAGAUCCCACGGCCGUACCACCGCCGACCAACCCCUCCAUCUGUAAGUAAGGGCACUAGGCCGCCCUCCACACUGGGGUGGCCCUGCUAGCCAUCAGUGGGGGAAGCGGAGUGGCUGCCAUGGCGGGGGUGGAGACGUGUUCGUCCUGGGCGUGCGCGUCCUCGGGAAGUCCAUCUGCAAUUUGGGCACCUCGCCGAGACCUCAUAGUGCUCGUCCCAGACUACUCUCCGAAGCCACUCGAGGUAUGCGUGCACAUCUGCAUUUCAGUCGACAAAAAUCAACAGAAUUGGUACUAUGAACUUCUGUGCUGGUCGGUCUUGUCUGUUACUUUAAUGUUGGACUGAGGAAUUUGGCACUAAAAUGAAAUCAUAUACAAGCUGAAACAUCGAGCUCACAGCUUCUGUUUGUAGUUUGAACUUAGGCUCCUCUCUCUCCCUCUGUCGUACUUCAAUCGUUCUUUGCCAUGAUGUUGAAUCAAGUAACUGUGCGUGCAUUGCAGCAGUAAUGUUUAUUUGGUGCAGAAAGCUCACAAAAAAAUCCAUCUCGAUUAAUUAGCAUUUUGGAAGUGCAUGCUUUGGCAGUUAACUACUGAGUGCAUCUAUCUUUCCCCUGGAAUAUGUAUAGUGUGGUGUCGUCAGUAUGCUGAAGAUGAAGUUUCCCCUAGCCGUCGGGCCCCGGCCCCUCCCUGCGAAGCUCCCAGUCGCCAUCUGCGCCAAGUCCGCACUCGAUCUACAGUUCAUUGUUGGCUAGCUGAAGGUCCAGGUUUGCUAAAAAAAUUCAGUGCAUCUUUAUAUAUUGUUCAGUUCAUCUACUUGCCAAUCAUAAGUCCAAUUUCAGAUAUGAAUAAAGCUCAAACCAAGUUAAAAAAUUAUUUUCUUCAUAAAUGAGUUGUUUUUGGUUAAUUUCUUUUUAUGGACAGUACAAAUGCACACUAUUGUGUGGUGCAUCUGUUUAUUGUAAUUGUGGUUUGGUGUUCAGAAGAAGACAACAAAAAAGGUUCAUAAAAGAACCCAAAAACAGUCCGUAGUUUUGGAAGCCCAAAUUUCAGUUCAACAUGUCUUCUAUCAUCAGCUCAUUAAGAACCCCAGAAACGGUUCAAUGUGUGUGUGUUCAAAAAAUAACAAAAAUGGAGGUUCAGAGAUGGCACCGAGAGAAGUUGGAAAAAACGGUUUCAACAUAAUAAAAUAACUGCAAAAUGUUUUUGUAUUUGGGUUAUAAAAUAAUCGUCUCAGUUCAACGAGUUAAAAUCGUCUUAGGUCAAUUAGUUAAAUCAUCUCAGUUCUACUAUAUUUGUUGCGACAAGAAUGGUUCAAGAUUAGUUAAUCCUUCUUCCACUUCCUCCACAAGAAAAUGAGCUCUAAAGAUUCAGUAUUUCACCUUGCAUACAACUCAGAGAACUACCUCUACAGACCUGGCUAGUAGGAGCAUCGAAAAUAGGAUGCACAAAACAUCAGGAAAAGAUUUUUGCACCAUUGUAUCAACCCCAAGCCAGUCGGGAUAGUUGAGGAGUUGUGUCGUGGUCGCCUGGUAGUGUCCUUGUCACCGUCCGUCUUCAAGCUGGCCGCGAGGGCCAGCAAGAUGUUGCAUGCGCCGACGAAGAUUCCAUAUCUGACUAGCAGCUGGUCAGAUGCCCGUGUGUGUGCCUUAAUUCUUUCUCACUACUAGCACUUGGUUUACCAUCGGUAGGUAGUUUGUCUAAAGUUAUCUGGAUUGCACUGAUGUCCUGGUAGCCUAAAAAAUGCAUACUGUUAGCACUUGUGGUUUGCUUAUGUAUAUUAUGGGAAUUCUUUGGCUGCACUGCAACGCUCUGGCCAGGUGGCAGCAAACCAAACAGAGAGGGCAAGUGAGAGACGAAGCCUCCUCUGCCUAGGACAUCGGAGAGUCGAACCCCAACAGCCAUUUUCUUGGCAGGCUAGCACUCGCUUUGGCGGCAUGGAAGAUGAGUGUGCCCUGUAUGCGGGUACCGUGACAUUGAGUAGGCGCGAAGUGUAUCACUCCAGCACGCCAAAGCUCCAGUGCAUGUCAACGUCUUCUCCACUGCAAUGGAAGCUCCUCCGUUCGAGUUGAGCACUGGUCAUCAUCCAAGUUGAACACUAGGUGCUGUCCAAGUUCAAAGAGGGUUGUAUGCUAAGUUUGUUUUAGUGAGAAAAAUGCGGGGAUUUGACAAUAUUCUGUAUGAUUCAUUUAUUCAACCUUAGAACUUGGCGAUAUUCGGUCUAUUUUUCUAUGAUGAAGGCACACAUGAAGUCAUGUGCAAUGGUAUCCCCCUAGUGCUUCAAA